AGCGGCGGACGAGUGAGUAAUGCCUAGGAAUCUGCCUGGUAGUGGGGGACAACGUUUCGAAAGGAACGCUAAUACCGCAUACGUCCUACGGGAGAAAGCAGGGGACCUUCGGGCCUUGCGCUAUCAGAUGAGCCUAGGUCGGAUUAGCUAGUUGGUGAGGCAAUGGCUCACCAAGGCUACGAUCCGUAACUGGUCUGAGAGGAUGAUCAGUCACACUGGAACUGAGACACGGUCCAGACUCCUACGGGAGGCAGCAGUGGGGAAUAUUGGACAAUGGGCGAAAGCCUGAUCCAGCCAUGCCGCGUGUGUGAAGAAGGUCUUCGGAUUGUAAAGCACUUUAAGUUGGGAGGAAGGGCAGUAAGCUAAUACCUUGCUGUUUGACGUUACCGACAGAAUAAGCACCGGCUAACUCUGUG
This 416-nucleotide ribosomal RNA is filed under the name uncultured bacterium. RNAcentral describes it as "bacterial SSU rRNA". It matches the Rfam family "Bacterial small subunit ribosomal RNA", at positions 94 to 507 of the family's 1533-position model. The record is from RNAcentral.